UACGGGGGGGGCAAGCGUUGUUCGGAAUUACUGGGCGUAAAGCGCGUGUAGGCGGCCAUCUAAGUCGGGCGUGAAAUCCCUCGGCUCAACCGGGGAACUGCGUCCGAUACUGGCGGGCUUGAAUUCGGGAGAGGGAUGUGGAAUUCCAGGUGUAGCGGUGAAAUGCGUAGAUAUCUGGAGGAACACCGGUGGCGAAGGCGGCAUCCUGGACCGACAUUGACGCUGAGGCGCGAAAGCCAGGGGAGCAAACGGG
Molecule: ribosomal RNA, 253 nt
Filed under: uncultured bacterium
Lineage: Bacteria
Description: partial 16S ribosomal RNA
Rfam family: Bacterial small subunit ribosomal RNA
Source: RNAcentral